GAUGAACGCUGGCGGCGUGCCUAAUACAUGCAAGUCGGACGCAAUGCUUCGGCAUUGAGUGGCGAACGGGUGAGUAAGACAUAAGCAACCUGCCCCUGUGAGGGGGAUAACUGCUGGAAACGGCAGCUAAGACCGCAUAGGCAUAGAGGACGCAUGUCGACUAUGUUAAAUAUCCCACGGGAUAGCACAGGGAUGGGCUUAUGACGCAUUAGCCAGCUGGUGAGGUAACGGCUCACCAGGGCGACGAUGCGUAGCCGGCCUGAGAGGGUGGACGGCCACACUGGGACUGAGACACGGCCCAGACUCCUACGGGAGGCAGCAGUAGGGAAUUUUCGGCAAUGGGCGAAAGCCUGACCGAGCAACGCCGCGUGAAGGAAGAAGUCAUUCGUGAUGUAAACUUCUGUUAUGAAGGAAGAACGGCAGAUGGAGGGAAUGCCAUGUGCGUGACGGUACUUCAUGAGGAAGCCACGGCUAACUACGUGCCAGCAGCCGCGGUAAUACGUAGGUGGCGAGCGUUAUCCGGAAUCAUUGGGCGUAAAGAGGGAGCAGGCGGCAGUGCAGGUCUGCGGUGAAAGACCGGAGCUAAACUUCGGUAAGCCGUGGAAACCGCACAGCUAGAGAGCAUCAGAGGAUCGCGGAAUUCCAUGUGUAGCGGUGAAAUGCGUAGAUAUAUGGAGGAACACCAGUGGCGAAGGCGGCGGUCUGGGGUGCAGCUGACGCUCAGUCCCGAAAGCGUGGGGAGCAAAUAGGAUUAGAUACCCUAGUAGUCCACGCCGU
Molecule: ribosomal RNA, 777 nt
Filed under: uncultured bacterium
Lineage: Bacteria
Description: bacterial SSU rRNA
Rfam family: Bacterial small subunit ribosomal RNA
Source: RNAcentral